UUUAUGGUAGUUUAAAUUAGAAUAAUAAUUUGUGACAUUAUUGGUGAAGUAAUUCUCUAAAU
Molecule: transfer RNA, 62 nt
Filed under: Euschistus heros (neotropical brown stinkbug)
Lineage: Eukaryota; Metazoa; Arthropoda; Insecta; Hemiptera; Pentatomidae
Description: tRNA-His
Source: RNAcentral